UGAGCCUACCAGAAGUCGCUGCGUUAACCGCAAGGAGACAGGCGCCCAAGGUAGGAUCGAUGAUUGGGGUGAAGUCGUAACAAGGUAGCCGUAGGUGAACCUGCAGAAGGAUCA
This 114-nucleotide ribosomal RNA is filed under the name uncultured eukaryote. Its description in RNAcentral is "partial small subunit ribosomal RNA". It matches the Rfam family "Bacterial small subunit ribosomal RNA", at positions 1412 to 1525 of the family's 1533-position model. The record is from RNAcentral.